Equus caballus (horse) is the source of this 780-nucleotide non-coding RNA. NCBI's taxonomy places the organism in Eukaryota, Metazoa, Chordata, Mammalia, Perissodactyla, Equidae. The record is from RefSeq and is a predicted model, not a curated record.
GGAGCCUGUGCAAUCAUCUCAGAGAAUUAAAACAACAUCCUGUCCCAAGGACCACAACCGAGAAACCACCGGCUUUCAAGGCAAAGCCAGGUCCCCUGCGAAGAGAGCUCGUCAAUGUGCUCUCGGGGCGAGUUUCCAGCCCAGCUACUAGGCCACGACUGGAUUUAUUAAUAGGAAAUCUGCUGUAAAGAAGAACUUUUCCUCACCAACCUCGGAUAUUGGUUAUCCUGAAAUACAGUUCAUACAGAAAAGGCAAGAGAGGGCAGAGGUCUUCGUCGAUACUGUUCACUGACAUGUUCCAAGUGCUGGAAUAUCGUCUGGACUACACAGGCCACUCAAUAAAUAUUUUUGAAUUGAAUUGAAAUCCAUACAUUGGAAUACUAUGUAACUCUUAAAAAAAUAAAUGUACACCUGUCUAUACUGACAUGGCAUAAUACUUAUAUUGUUGAGAGAAAAAAGCAGAUUACAGAACAGUGAAUACAGGAUGAGUGCAUUUUUAUAAAAUAUGUAUAUUUUAAAUGUAUCAAAAAUAGGAUGGAUUAAUGGGUGAAUAUGUGAUAAAACAUACAAUAAAAUGUUAAUUGUAGAAUUUAGAUGGUGGCUAUAUGGGUUUUUCCUGUUCAAUUUAUUCAGUUUUCAUUUAUUUUAUUAUGAAAAUGUUCAUCACAAAAUGUUGGAACAAUAUGUGUGUAAAAAUCUGUAUUUCUGAAGAGUGGGUUUGGGGGUAAGGAUGGAAAUUUUCAGGUUAUAUACUUUCUAUAAAGCAAAAAUUGUAAAUGA